Long non-coding RNA from Bos grunniens (domestic yak), 1841 nucleotides. The record is from Ensembl. NCBI's taxonomy places the organism in Eukaryota, Metazoa, Chordata, Mammalia, Artiodactyla, Bovidae.
UUCUUUUUUUCCCCAAGAACUUGACAUUUCCCCUCCCUCUGGUGCCCACAACUACGGAAGCAGCCUUGGCUGGCACAUGGCAUCUCUUCGGGACUCAAGAGUCACUACAGCUUCCAGAUGCCCACUGGAGAAGGUCUUCAGCUGGAAGUGUUUGGUAAUGAGCAGUGCCAGGGUACACUUGCCGGAGCCCGCGGCACCCACGAUCACAGGAGUGCAGGAGCUGCCUCGAUGGCCCCAUGGCUGCCAAGCGAGGCCAGGACCGCGGAGAUGGUUGGGCCCCAGGGUGGACACCAGCUGCGCCUGCACCCCCGCCUUCGCUGCCCGGCAUCUGGGGUGGCACCUAGAAGAAGCGCUGCUUCAGAGGGUGCGACCCACGGCUGAUGGAGGUAUGGAAGAGGGCAUGUGUGAAUUGAACGAUUGGGGUCAAGACAUUCCCCCUAGGAGGGUGUAAAGGUGGAGGAGAUGGGAAGUCUGAAAGGAAAAUGAAGAAACAAAGUGUAGAUUCAGAAGUUCCACUAUUCACAGGAGAAAAAGGAGAAGAGGGAGGGAUACAGUAUUUAAAGAGAAAAUUAAAGGGACUUCCCUGGCGGCUCAGUAGUUAAGACUUCUUCCUCUCACUGCCAAGGGCCUGGGUUCAAUCCCUGGUCUGGGAAUUAAGAUCCCACAUGCCCACAUGGCCAAAAAAAAAAAGAUAAUUAAAGACAAGAAUUUCCCAGAAUUAAAGAUGGUACAAGUCACAGGAAUAGAUAGUGGAACAGUUCAGAGAGUCUAGAAGCAAAUGUCAGCAAAGUUGGUUCGUAGGCCUCUCACACUCCGCUGAUGGGGUGUCCUCACAGCUGCUUGGGAAGGCAACUUGGCAGUGGCUAUUUUUUAAGAAAUUACUUCUUCAGAUCAGAUCAGAUCAGUCACUCAGUCGUGUCCGACUCUUUGCUACCCCAUGAAUCGCAGCACCCCAGGCCUCCCUGUCCAUCACCAACACCCGGAGUUCACUGAGACUCACGUCCAUCGAGUCAGUGAUGCCAUCCAGCCACCUCAUCCUCUGUCGUCCCCUUCUCCUCCUUCCCCCAAUCCUUCCCAGCAUCAGAGUCUUUUCCAAUGAGUCAACUCUUCUCAUGAGGUGGCCAAAGUACUGGAGUUUCAUUCCUUAGACAAACACUCUUGUGUGGCAAGAAGGCACAUACAUGAUGUUCAUUUCAGCCUUAUUUGUAACAGCAAAAAAAUCGUUAACAAUUUAGCUGUGUAUUAAUUAGAGAAUAGCUAAGGGAACCUGUGGAAUACUACCCAGCAGCUAAGAAGACAGAUCUAUGUGCUAACAUGAAAAGAUUUCUGAUAUUGUAAAUGUAAAAAGUUUCAGAUUGAUACAAUUUAGGUUAAAGAAUGGUGUAAUUUAUGGUUAAAUAUAUUUAAUAAGUGAACUCAGAAGCCAGGUUUCUAGCAGUGGACGGACAUGAUUUUACUUUUAGACAAUUGCUUCGUUUGCAAGAUGGCGAGCAGUUAGAAGGCUAUUUCAGUAGACCAACAAAGAGGUGAGAAAGUACACUAAUUUUAAUGUCUUCAAUGUAAGUGAGAUUGAGCAUCUUUUCAUCUCUUUUAUGGGCCAUUUAUACUAUUUCUCCAUGGAGAAUUUUUAAACUGACAGUUACCUGCUGAUCACUUCCUUGGAAAAAUACUUCGGGUUUGGUUUACGCAACAAAAUGUGAAACAGGUGGACAGUUUUGUCUUGGGUGGUCCAAGUAUAGACUAUGCAUCACGUGGGGCUUCUCUAAUUAGAGGUUGCUGAGCCACCAGCCCUGCAUCCACUUCCUUCUCUAACCAUUCUUGAGCCACUUCAUUUCUGAAAA